UUUUGUUUCUCCCUCUAGAUCCGAAUGCUUUUGCUGGAAAGACCGGACCUGAUCACGCUCUUAUAGGAGGAAUAGUGGCUGUAGUUGUCUUUGUAACGCUAUGUUCUAUAAUUCUGCUUGGUCGAUAUCUGGCAAGACAUAAAGGAACUUAUUUAACAAAUGAAGCAAAAGGAGCUGAAGAUGCACCGGAUGCCGACACAGCCAUUAUCAAUGCAGAAGGCAGUCAAGUCAAUGCAGAGGAGAAAAAGGAGUAUUUCAUUUAGAUGCAGAGCUAGAAUCUUGGAGUUUUACUAUCAGGUUGACUGCUGGAGAAAACUGGCUAUCAUUUUUCAGAAUUCAUUUCUGCCAUCUUCUGCUAUCUUUAUUAACCCACAUACCUGCUAUAAGUAGCCAGUUUAUGCCAACAAUCAGCUUUUGACAAUAUCAUUCUAUAAUUACAGUAUCAUACAUAAAGCAGGACAUUUCUUAUUGCCUAAAUUCAUAUCCACUGCUCUCUUAACAUACAGUGCUUGAAUAUACAGCCUUAACAAUGUUAAUCAUCAUCGUAAUCCAAGUUUUCUACAUUUUAAAUGUAUGCAGCUUUAUUACUCUUCUGUUUUCUUUUAUCAUGCUCCAUAUCAGUAUGUCAUAGAAUAUUCAUAACAAAUGCUAUUAGAUAAGGACUUAAUUUACUUACGUAAAAAAAAGAUAAGUCUAAGACUAGAGGUUUACAAAGAAUGUUUUAUACAUGUCUAUAAUUCAAAAAGCAACUUGUUUUGAGACAUAUGCCCUAGGAAAACAUAACUGGAAGUUUCUUAGUAUAGUUUCUUGUAUGCUUGAGUUUGUUAGAAAAGAAGUAUCCGUCAGCUGUUUUUUUUUUUUUUUUUCGUUUUGUUUUGCUUUAUUUUGUUCUAUUUUGAAUGGUACCUUGACAACAGUGCCAUGUUUCAGUGGUAUAAAAAAAACGUAUUAAAUAGCUAUACAGAUUCUGCAAAGUUAGAUAGUAGUGCUUCAUUUGAAAUAAAUUUGUCCUGCCCUUUAUUGCAUUUUUGGGAUCACAAAGGAUUAGGAGUCUUUUUUGAGUAAUUUCUGUUUUUAUAAUUUAUUUGCUUCACAUGGACUCACCUGUCUACUCAAAUUUGAAGUGUUCAUGGGACACAACUGCAAAGCAUUUUAGUAUCUGUAUAUAGUGCAUAUAAUAAAUUCAAUUAAACAUUAUUUGAUACAUAUUUAACUUUUUUUGGCAGUAGCUAAGUCAGUCACAAGUGAGCAUUUUCUAAUGUCCAUUAUAUCCUUUUAGAUAUGACUCAAAUCAAUAUUCUGAGUAGAAAACAUGUAUUAGUAUUUUUUUUGUCUGUAUGUCCUAGCACUGUUCAGCAGCAAACUUUUCUAGUUCUUGUUUUUUCUUUGUUAUACAAUGGAAGCACAAUGUUAUAUGGAAAGGUAGUUUUAAGCUAACAACCAGUGCACAGCCUCAGGUUUUAAAUUACAACCACAUUUGAUUACUAUCCUUAGAAAAUGUUGUUGUUAAGUUGCUAAAAUUCUCAAUUUUUAAUUUGGCAGUUCCAGAGCUGCUUCUCUAUGUUGGUUUGCCAAAAAAAAAGAAAAAAAAAAAAAAGAAAAAAAAAGAGAAAAAAAUAGAAGUGUUAAAA
Molecule: non-coding RNA, 1631 nt
Organism: Tinamus guttatus (white-throated tinamou)
Lineage: Eukaryota; Metazoa; Chordata; Aves; Tinamiformes; Tinamidae
Source: RefSeq, a predicted model, not a curated record